UAACAUGGGUAAAUGAUUAAAAAAAAAUCGAAACCCAAAAAAAAAAGGAAGAAGAAGUAACAAAACAAAGUCGGGAACAAUGGAUUAAUGGAUAUGUAAAAGCCAUAAGGAGAACAGAACUAAAAUUAAAAUAUGAAAGAAUAUGCAAUAAACAUUGUAUAAGUGGAAAGCCAGCCACUUUAAAAAGAUAUUUCAAACCAAAACAUGGGUUACCAAAGCAGGCAAUAAAAAGAAAAGGUGAUCUAGAAUGCAAGAGAAGAGCUGAUGAAAGAAGUAAAUGUAAAGAAAAUAAUGAAGAGACUUCUCUCGACCAUGAACAAACACCAGAUAUUUUAUAUAUGUAGAAAAAGGAAAAACUGCUGGAACUUUAAUUUAAAGGCUUUUGACUAGUGAAGAUUUGGAUAAACAACAGGAGUUACUUUGGGCCAUAGCUACGUGCAAAUUUAUUUUCUUGUGGCUUCCUAUGUUUAUUCUUAUUAACUAUAUCUACACUUUGAUAUGUUUUUAGUCGCAUAUAUAGUUUAUUAUUUUAUGUAUAUUGUUAUAUUUGUGUUGAAUAAACAUUAUUAUUAUUA
Diabrotica virgifera virgifera (western corn rootworm) is the source of this 575-nucleotide long non-coding RNA. RefSeq lists it as uncharacterized. Lineage: Eukaryota; Metazoa; Arthropoda; Insecta; Coleoptera; Chrysomelidae. The transcript has 3 exons. The record is from RefSeq and is a predicted model, not a curated record.